CCAGACUCCUACGGGAGGCAGCAGUGGGGAAUAUUGCACAAUGGGGGGAACCCUGAUGCAGCGACGCCGCGUGGGUGAAGGAGCACCUCGGUGCGUAAAGCCCUAUCGGCAGGGAAGAAAAGCGAACAGGUUCGCCUGGACGGUACCUGACUAAGAAGCCCCGGCUAACUACGUGCCAGCAGCCGCGGGAAUACGUAGGUGGCAGGCGGUGUCCGGAUUUACUGGGUGUAAAGGGCGUGUAGCCGGGCCGGCAAGUCAGAUGUGAAAUCCCAAGGCUCAACCUUGGAACUGCAUUUGAAACUGUUGGUCUUGAGUAUCGGAGAGGCAGGCGGAAUUCCUAGCGUAGCGGUGAAAUGCGUAGAUAUUAGGAGGAACACCAGUGGCGAAGGCGGCCUGCUGGACUGCGACUGACGUUGAGGCCCGAAAGCGUGGGGAGCAAACAGGAUUAGAUACCCUCGUAAAC
RNAcentral lists this ribosomal RNA (463 nucleotides) under uncultured bacterium. Its description in RNAcentral is "bacterial SSU rRNA". It matches the Rfam family "Bacterial small subunit ribosomal RNA", at positions 331 to 795 of the family's 1533-position model. The record is from RNAcentral.